CCUGAGGGAUAACUCAGUUGGUAGAGCAUGAGACUCUUAAUCUGAGGGUCCUGGGUUCAAGUCCUGUACAGUGGUACCUCGGGU
Podarcis lilfordi (Lilford's wall lizard) is the source of this 84-nucleotide non-coding RNA. NCBI's taxonomy places the organism in Eukaryota, Metazoa, Chordata, Lepidosauria, Squamata, Lacertidae. The record is from the annotation of a GenBank genome assembly.